UGGAGUCAGAGCAGAUCCCUACCACUGCAAAUCGUCCCAUAAAUCAAGACCUCUACAUAUACUCAUUCCUGCCACCUCCACAUACUCAUUCCUGCCACCUCCACUCUGCCAGAUCGUAAUCUCUGCUCAUUACCGCUCUGUUUCUGGCUCCUGUCUCCUGUUCCACAUCUCACCACCAACCACCUUGCUCUGUAUAUCACUCACCACCAUCACCUUCGAUUCCCUCAGGACCUGGUCUACUCAGCCAACUCCAACCUCACUCCACCCUCCUGGUUUUUCUGAGCUACCCCGGUUCUGCACUCUCCCAUUCUCUGUGAUCAAUAAACCUUUUUGUGCAUUCA
Molecule: non-coding RNA, 341 nt
Organism: Salvelinus sp. IW2-2015
Lineage: Eukaryota; Metazoa; Chordata; Actinopteri; Salmoniformes; Salmonidae
Source: RefSeq, a predicted model, not a curated record